RNAcentral lists this ribosomal RNA (165 nucleotides) under Dardanus pedunculatus. RNAcentral describes it as "partial 16S rRNA". Lineage: Eukaryota; Metazoa; Arthropoda; Malacostraca; Decapoda; Diogenidae. The record is from RNAcentral.
UCUUAAUAUUAAUGCAAAUUAAUCUUUUAACUUAUAUUAAAAUAGAAGUAUUAAUUUGUUAAUAUUGUGUUGGGGCGACAAAAAUAUACAUUAUAUACCUGUUUUAACUUUAAUACAAUUAUUUUUGACCUUAAAGAUCCUUACUAAAGAUUAAAAGAUCAAGUU